Molecule: non-coding RNA, 69 nt
Filed under: Streptomyces nanshensis
Lineage: Bacteria; Bacillati; Actinomycetota; Actinomycetes; Kitasatosporales; Streptomycetaceae
Source: RNAcentral
CUUCACCGAGCCCAGGUAGAGGGGCAGUUCGCGGUCCUGCCCGUAGGUCUCCAGCAGCGCCUGCGCCUC